RNAcentral lists this long non-coding RNA (381 nucleotides) under Lathyrus oleraceus (garden pea). Its description in RNAcentral is "Pisum sativum (pea) long non-coding RNA (PSAT_LNC027448)". The record is from RNAcentral. Lineage: Eukaryota; Viridiplantae; Streptophyta; Magnoliopsida; Fabales; Fabaceae.
ACAAUUGUGCGGUCAUAAGGCUCCCUCCUAUACAAACCAAUCUAAAUCCUGUCGUUAUGCCUAAGUCUAACUUACUCAUCCUCUUUUUUCACUCUUUUUCAUUCUAGUGCAAUCACAUUAAGCACUUUAUCUAUUCACACACAUGGUAACUGAGCUUGUUAGUGACUAUGAUCCAUUUUUUUUCUCAACAAUUUAGAAUUAAACAUUUUUUUUUCUUUUCUUUUUUUCUUUUUCACUUUUUGUCUUUUUGUCUUUUUUUUUUCUUCUUAUUAAGCACAAGAUCAUUCACUUAUUUGCAUCAGCUCAACUACUUAGCAUGUGAUUUUUAGAUGGUGCUGACUGCUAGAUAAACUACUUAAAAGCUAUUAGAGGACGAGAACU